RNAcentral lists this ribosomal RNA (1095 nucleotides) under uncultured bacterium. RNAcentral describes it as "bacterial SSU rRNA". It matches the Rfam family "Bacterial small subunit ribosomal RNA", at positions 28 to 1104 of the family's 1533-position model. The record is from RNAcentral.
GGAAAAUGGGGGGGCGCGCCUACACAUGCAAGUCGAGCGGAAACGAGUUAACUGAACCUUCGGGGAACGUUAACGGCGUCGAGCGGCGGACGGGUGAGUAAUGCCUGGGAAAUUGCCCUGAUGUGGGGGAUAACCAUUGGAAACGAUGGCUAAUACCGCAUGAUAGCUUCGGCUCAAAGAGGGGGACCUUCGGGCCUCUCGCGUCAGGAUAUGCCCAGGUGGGAUUAGCUAGUUGGUGAGGUAAUGGCUCACCAAGGCGACGAUCCCUAGCUGGUCUGAGAGGAUGAUCAGCCACACUGGAACUGAGACACGGUCCAGACUCCUACGGGAGGCAGCAGUGGGGAAUAUUGCACAAUGGGCGCAAGCCUGAUGCAGCCAUGCCGCGUGUAUGAAGAAGGCCUUCGGGUUGUAAAGUACUUUCAGCAGUGAGGAAGGUGGGUAUGUUAAUAGCAUAUUCAUUUGACGUUAGCUGCAGAAGAAGCACCGGCUAACUCCGUGCCAGCAGCCGCGGUAAUACGGAGGGUGCGAGCGUUAAUCGGAAUUACUGGGCGUAAAGCGCAUGCAGGUGGUUUGUUAAGUCAGAUGUGAAAGCCCGGGGCUCAACCUCGGAAUUGCAUUUGAAACUGGCAAACUAGAGUACUGUAGAGGGGGGUAGAAUUUCAGGUGUAGCGGUGAAAUGCGUAGAGAUCUGAAGGAAUACCGGUGGCGAAGGCGGCCCCCUGGACAGAUACUGACACUCAGAUGCGAAAGCGUGGGGAGCAAACAGGAUUAGAUACCCUGGUAGUCCACGCCGUAAACGAUGUCUACUUGGAGGUUGUGGCCUUGAGCCGUGGCUUUCGGAGCUAACGCGUUAAGUAGACCGCCUGGGGAGUACGGUCGCAAGAUUAAAACUCAAAUGAAUUGACGGGGGCCCGCACAAGCGGUGGAGCAUGUGGUUUAAUUCGAUGCAACGCGAAGAACCUUACCUACUCUUGACAUCUACAGAAGCCAGCGGAGACGCAGGUGUGCCUUCGGGAACUGUAAGACAGGUGCUGCAUGGCUGUCGUCAGCUCGUGUUGUGAAAUGUUGGGUUAAGUCCCGCAACGAGCGCAACCC